Zalophus californianus (California sea lion) is the source of this 105-nucleotide small nuclear RNA. The record is from Ensembl. Lineage: Eukaryota; Metazoa; Chordata; Mammalia; Carnivora; Otariidae.
GUUCGCUUUGGCAGCACAUAUACUGAUACUGGAACUAUACAGAGAAGAUUAGCAUGGCCACUGCGCAAGGAUGACACGCAAAUUCAUGAAGAGUUCCAUAUUUUA